This 497-nucleotide ribosomal RNA is filed under the name uncultured bacterium. Its description in RNAcentral is "partial 16S ribosomal RNA". It matches the Rfam family "Bacterial small subunit ribosomal RNA", at positions 28 to 507 of the family's 1533-position model. The record is from RNAcentral.
GAUGAACGCUGGCGGCGUGCCUAAUACAUGCAAGUCGAGCGAACAGACGAGGAGCUUGCUCCUCUGACGUUAGCGGCGGACGGGUGAGUAACACGUGGAUAACCUACCUAUAAGACUGGGAUAACUUCGGGAAACCGGAGCUAAUACCGGAUAAUAUAUUGAACCGCAUGGUUCAAUAGUGAAAGACGGUUUUGCUGUCACUUAUAGAUGGAUCCGCGCCGCAUUAGCUAGUUGGUAAGGUAACGGCUUACCAAGGCAACGAUGCGUAGCCGACCUGAGAGGGUCAUCGGCCACACCGGAACUGAGACACGGUCCAGACGCCUACGGGAGGCAGCAGUAGGGAAUCUUCCGCAAUGGGCGAAAGACUGACGGAGCAACGCAGCGUGAGUGAUGAAGGUCUUCGGAUCGUAAAACUCUGUUAUUAGGGAAGAAAAAAUGUGUAAGUAAAUAUGCAAGUAUUGACGGUACCAAAGCAGAAAGCAACGGCUAACUACGUG